AGGGAAGUUGAUGGAAGUAGCUUGUAGAAUGCUUGGAGCAUUUGGACAGGAUUCACAUUUCAGUACAUGUCAAUGAACUUGCACAGCUAAAAAUAAUAGUAAAUAUGGAACCAUGAAAGCAAUAGAGAAAUGGUGAGUAUAUUUAAGAUUUUUUUACCAAUUAGAGGGUUUUUCAGCUGAUAAAAGUAAACUCAUCGGAGAGUAAUUUCCGGCGAAGGUCAUGAAUUUCCGACGAUGAUUUUUUAUUUUGAUUUUCAAUUGCAGGAAGACUUUGAGUAAUAAAAUCACAAACAAAAGGGGUUGAUGCAUCGCCUGGUGUAGAUUUCCUCACAACCCACAUAAGAGAGGAAAUUAGAGAGAGGUUGUUAUUAUUUUGUUGUAAAUUACUGCAAUUACAAAUCAAUUUUUAAUUAAAUUUUCUUUUUUUUUUAAUGUGUGAUUCACUGUAUGCAUAAACAAUCUUGAAAUACCUUUUACCGCUCUGUUUGAUAAUAUUAGCUAUUUUAAUAGUUGUAAACAUAGGUUUAAAGUAAAAAUAUGUAAUAAAAAUAAUUAUUAAAAAUAAAAAUAUGAAUAUAUUUUAUUGAUUUUAA
Molecule: unclassified non-coding RNA, 593 nt
Filed under: Hevea brasiliensis (rubber tree)
Lineage: Eukaryota; Viridiplantae; Streptophyta; Magnoliopsida; Malpighiales; Euphorbiaceae
Source: RNAcentral